CAGGGUUUCCCUCUGUCACCCAGGCUGGAGUGCAGCAGCACUAUUGUGGCUCACUGCAGCGUCAACCUUCUGGGCUCCAGCGAUCCUCUUGCCUCAGCCUCCUUGAAUUGCCUAAAAUUGUAAAAUGCUUCGUAUUGUUUACAUAUAGCAUCAAUGACAGUGUUGAACUUAAGCUGAUGCUUUAUAACUCAUUUCCUGGCCUCUGAGUUGGCAGUAGAAGUGGAAACCAUUGUCCAAGGCCUUUGGAGUGUGUCAGUGCUGACCCUGCAGCUACAGAAAUGACCAAAUCAAACCUGUUGUACUGAGGGUAAAGCUCAAAUGGACCCUGUGACUACUCCUCCUCCUUCCCCAAUAAACCUUUGUUCCUGACCAGAAAAAUCCGUGCUGCACUCAUAGGAGGGAAUAUCUUGUUAUACACAGAAGAAUAUCUUGUUAUACCCCAAAUCAUGUGCAAUGACUGUACCAAAGUCUACUAUGGAUAGCAGAUAGUUGGAUAUCCAUAGGAUAUCCAUAGUAGACUUUGAAUGGUACAGUCAUUGCACAUAAUUUGGGGUAAUUCAUCUGAGUGGCCGUAAUUAUCAUGGAUAAGUGAUGUAUGGUAUAAGAAGAUAUUUGUUUGUCUCAUAUGCAUAUCUUUUUUCCUUCGAGGUUUUUAGGAAUAUGAGUGUAAAAUUAGUGCUCUGAAGUCAGCAAUGAGUCAUUACCUCUUUGCCUUCAUCCAUUUUUGUGUUGCUAGAAAGGAAUACCUGAGGCUGGGUCAUUUAUAAAGAAAAGAGAGGCCAGGUGCGGCGGCUCAUGGCUGUAAUCUUAGCACUUUGGGAGGCCGAGGCAGGUGGAUCACAAGGUCAGGAGUUCAAGACCAGCCUGGCCAACAUGCUGAAACCCCGUCUCUACUAAAAAUACAAAAAUUACCUGAGCGUGGUGGUGUGCACCUGUAGUCCCAGCUACUCGGGAGGGUGAGGCAGGAGAAUUACUCGAACCUGGGAGAUGGAGGUUGCAGUGAACCGAGAUGGUGCCACUGCACUCCAGCCUGGGUGACAGAAAGAGACUCCAUCUCAAAAAAAAAAAAAAAAAAAAAAGAGGUUUAUUUGUUUCACAGUUCUGCAGGCUGUAUAAGAAGCAUGGCACCAGCAUCCGCUCCUAAUGAGGGCCUCAGGCUGCUUCCACUUUUGGCUGAAGGUGAAGGAGAGCCAUGUGCAGAGAUCUCGUGGUGAGGGGGAGGACAUUAAUCUAGUCAUGAGAGAUCCACCCCUGAGACUCAAACACGGGCCAUAAGGUGGAACCUCCAACAUUGGGAAUCCAGUUUCAACAUAAGAUCUGAAGGGGACAAAUAUCCAAAAUAUAGCACUCUUCAUUCUCCCCAGCACAUCCCCCUGCUCCCUUCCCUUAAUCAGCACUACUUGAACUGAAGUGGAUUUUGAGCCUUUAACAUUGUAUUUAAAAAAGAUAUUUGUGUUCUCUGUUCUAAAUUUUAAGAUCAACUGAGCAUGACAUUUCAGGUAUCUUUCUCUUACAAAAACAAAACGAAACAUGAGAAAAUGAAAUUAAGUUUCUUUUAUAUUCCCAUGUGGUUGUGAUUUUCUUUUAAAGCAGGUCAAUUGCCUUUAAUAGAAAACUUU
Molecule: long non-coding RNA, 1619 nt
Filed under: Homo sapiens (human)
Lineage: Eukaryota; Metazoa; Chordata; Mammalia; Primates; Hominidae
Description: HSALNT0151471
Source: RNAcentral